CCCCUAUUGUGAGAAUACUUUGCGUCUACACAUCUCUAUGUUAUAGCUAGCAAAGGUAUUAACAUCCUGAUUAUAUUUCUAUCAUUAGGGAUAAUUUGGGGUGAUAAAAAAUCAUUAAAGAAGAUAACCCAUGCAAAGUGCCUAUUUUGCUUGAUGCAAAAGUAGAAUAAGUAGGGUUGAUGGGCAAGGACAAAUAUGUGAGAACAUUAAUUCCUACCUCAAUUUUCAGAACGAGAGAAUUUUGAAGCUGAAGAGGAUCUUAAAAGAUCUGAAUUCCAUUCCCUCAUUUAGCAUUAAAGGAAACUGAGCCACAAUAGUACAGCUUAUCAAAUGUCCUCUAGAGACACAAGAUGACACAGGGCAUGGUCUGAGAUCCCCCGGUCCAAGUGGCCCUGGAACCCAAAGCAUUGCUGGUGAAGGAGGUCCACAUGUCAGUUCUGCUGGGAGCACCCAAGGGCAAAAUGAAAUGGGCCUUGUUCUUAAGCAUCUGUAAUGGCAAGGAUGAGGCCAAACUGGUGAACAAGUCUUCGGAGCCUGAUACUGAGCCCACAGAGAGAAGGACUGCCUUGGAGUGGUCGGAUUCCGAGACUCUGUGUCCCAUGUCCUAGCACAGGUAUGUUCUCCAUUCUCACUCCCAUUAGGUCUUGGGCCCACUCUUGCAUGGCAUGGGAGGUUUGGCUUCGUUGUUCUUUCUCCUUCCUCAUCCACAUCCUCACAUACUCUCUUCUCCUUCCCCUGGUAGGCACUUGACAUAAGGCAAUAUAUUGAGGUUCAAGCUUGCACUCAAUGAGGAGCAAAGAAACUCCAAAAACCUCCUAUUAAUGGUACUUUUCACAUGGCCAGCUAUGACCCUGAACUUACCUAUAGACACUUCAGGGGUCACGGAGGAGAGAAGAGUCAUUGGCAGUGCAGGAUCUACACAGAUGAGACACACACCUAGCUUGAAGCUGGAAGGAACCAUUAGAAGUCAAAUAGACGUAUCCCCUGCCUUAAGAUAACAAGGUAUAAGGAGCCCUGAUGAAGCCAUCACAGCCAAGUGGUCCAACAAUUGACUGAAAUUCACGCAGGAUCUCCAACCACAAAAGAAGCUACAUUACACAGCACGGUACCUCUGGAAAAUAACCUCUGGCUUUGAAUCCAAGAUGGAAGCUGAGAUCUUGGGUGCAUGAGGAAAUGAGAAGAGAAUGAUGGGGAAAAGCUACUGUCAUGAGCAUAUUACACCUUUUAAGCAGUGAGAAAUUCAUUUAAUAAAUCGAUUGAAGCCUGAAAUCUAAUUAAAUCUAAAAGAGGUAGCAACCUGAAAUGCAAAUAAGUUCACGCUUAAAUUGUAUACAAGGAAGCUCUGCUGUGCAUGCCUUUAAUAAUGCAUUACCUAAAGUGUUUUCUGUAUUCAUUAAAGCAGUGCAGCGACGUGCCAUGAAUUAUUUCUAUGCUCUACCUCGGAUACAAAUAUCUUCAUGCUGGCAAUCUGUUUAGCCACUUUCCCCUUCCCAGUCAAGGUGAAUGAAAUGUGGUUCUCAAGGGCUGUGAUAGUGGUUGUAAAAAGCAAAGUCAAAACUUAGUAAGGC
Molecule: long non-coding RNA, 1568 nt
Organism: Felis catus (domestic cat)
Lineage: Eukaryota; Metazoa; Chordata; Mammalia; Carnivora; Felidae
Exons: 3
Source: RefSeq, a predicted model, not a curated record